UACGAAGGGAGCUAGCGUUGUUCGGAAUUACUGGGCGUAAAGGGCGCGUAGGCGGUAAGAUCAGUCAGGUGUGAAAUCCCUGGGCUCAACCCAGGAACUGCGCUUGAUACUAUCUUGCUUGAAUUCGGUAGAGGUGAGUGGAAUUCCCAGUGUAGAGGUGAAAUUCGUAGAUAUUGGGAGGAACACCGGUGGCGAAGGCGGCUCACUGGACCGACAUUGACGCUGAGGCGCGAAAGCGUGGGGAGCAAACAGG
RNAcentral lists this ribosomal RNA (253 nucleotides) under uncultured bacterium. RNAcentral describes it as "partial 16S ribosomal RNA". It matches the Rfam family "Bacterial small subunit ribosomal RNA", at positions 524 to 776 of the family's 1533-position model. The record is from RNAcentral.